ACUGACAUCCAAUGACGCACCCGCACCCACACCCGCUUUAUCUGUGCAGCGCUCUUUGCCAUGUCCUCUGCGAAGCACCCAGAGUCAGGGUCACCACCGGCACGCGUGUUGUCGUCUCCAACGACGGCCUCGGAGAGUGAGGCGGUCGGUACGCUGCAGCUCCUGCGGUUUGCCUACAGCUACAUGACAUGCCAGCUGCGCGUCAUACUCGUGUCCGGCCUCUUCAUGGCUUGUGCGACGCUGCUGAGCAUUUCGAUUCCCGCCCUCGCCGAAGAGAUAGUAUCAUACGGCAUGAGGGCGACCACAAAGACCAUAGACGGUGUCUCGCACACUGUGGAGAGCUCUAGCGCCACAUCACUGGAGGCAGCAACGGCGGCGCCGGGACUCGGGAUGCCCGCAGACGGCGCGGGAGCUGGAGGGGAUCGGCUCUUCUUCCUAGGCCUUGGUCCGCUCAGCGAGCGCAUCUUCAAGCCGCUGCUUCCAAUGCUCUUCGCCUUUCUUCGCAGUGCCGUCGUCGUCAGAGAUGAUGCAGAGCCUGCGGCGUCGCUAUCCCCCUACGUCGAAGGGAUUCUCUGCCGCUGCCUCCUCAUGGCAGUGGCGAUCAUAUGCUACCACUUCACUUCCCUGCUCGCUCACCUUGCCGCGUACUACGCGGGAUCGGGAGCGCAAAAUGCCUUGACGAAGGAUAGCGUGCACCGCAUCCUUCAUACUCCGCACCCCGAGCGCGUCGCAAUCGUGAACGCGGUGAAGCUGGCGCAGCUCAUCACCGCCAGUGGACGGGCCUUGAGCGACACGACCGGCGAGCUGCUCACGAACGUGCUCUCGCAGGUGAUGUACAUUGUGGGCUUCUUUGCCGUAAUGCUCUUCCUGUCCUACCAACUCACCCUGAUCAUUCUAGUCGGGGUGGUGGGGAUUCAGUGUCUCUUCUUUUUUCAAGGGAUCUCGUUGCACCGCCAGGGCAGCCGCGUCACGGCAGAGGAGGCGAGCGUGCAGGCGUACAUCGCGAACAUCCUGCAGCGUAGUCAGACCGUGCUGGUCUUCGGUUGCAGCGAGUUCGUGCUGGACCGCAUGGCAGACCGAUCGGCGCAGUUGUGGCGGCUGACAAACGGUCUAAACCGCAGCAUCCACGGCUACGCCGCCGUCAGCUCCGGCCUCACCCGCCUCAUCCUGGUCGUGGCGCUUGGGCUGUCGAAUUACUACCAGCAGAAGGGUCAGCUCGGCAUGCGGCACACAAUCUUGUACUUUGCGUGUUUCCAAUCGUUUGUAAACACGCUCGCGUCGCUUUCGUCCGCAGUGAGCCAGCUGCGCGCCACACUCGGGCGCCUCAAGACAUUGGAUGCGAUGCUGCGCUGGUACUCGGAGCCGCUCGCGGGCACCGCGGGAGAGGGCUGCACCGCGGCCUUGGAGUUGGCCGUGGUCGACGUGCAGGAAUCCCCCACAGCAGAGGUAGCUCUGGACCACGUCAGCUUCUCGUAUCCAGCGGUGCCGGCUUUCUUCAGCGAGGUUGGUGGCGCCGCUGGCGCAGGCGACGCCGUUGCCUCAUGGGAGCAGCAGCUGAGCACCGCCAUGGGCAGUCAGCACAAUAACGGCGUGUCGCAGGUGAGCUUGACGGCUCUUGUUGGAGGCAUCACGGUCCUUUACGGCCCCAGUGGCUGUGGGAAGAGCACCUGUCUGCGGCUUCUGUGUGGUCUGGUGCGGCCUCACACAGGCACGGUGCGCACGCAGCGUCGCGCCGUGCUAUUGGAGCAGCAACACGCCAUCUUUAUCGGCACGGUGGCAGAAAACAUCUUGCUCACCAGCCUAUCCAGCUUUGGCAGUGGUACAGUUAAAGCAAGUGCGUUAAAACCCACGAUGCCAUCGAGUGGCGUUCCUCAGCUGCCCACUGCCGCAGCGACUUUCGCGGAGCUGCAGCGGCGCGUCACGGACGCAGCGGUUAAGAGCGGCUGCGCAGACUUCCUCAGCAACCCGUUCAGCACCUUCAUCGAGAGUGUCGACCACCCGCAGUUCAGCGGUGGCCAGCUGCAGCGCAUUGUCUUGGCUCGAAUGUUGGCGCGGACGGACGACUACUCGCUUGUCCUCCUAGAUGAACCUACCACCGGACUCGACCGGAGCGCCGUGGAGGUGCUGCUGGAGACUAUCAAGGAGCUGCGUGACACCCAUCACAAGACGAUUCUCAUUUCGACCCACGAUCGCCGUGUGGCGGAGGUGGCGGACAAAGUUAUCGACCUGUCGGCGAGCGCAGCAGAGGCACGGUGAGGACGCCGUUGCGCAUGUCCUUUUCGAUAAGGUUUAGACUUGUGUGAAUGAAUCAGAUGC
Molecule: unclassified non-coding RNA, 2316 nt
Filed under: Leishmania donovani
Lineage: Eukaryota; Euglenozoa; Kinetoplastea; Trypanosomatida; Trypanosomatidae
Description: gene:LdHU3.32.2710(CDS-product:ABC_transporter-li ke_protein)
Source: RNAcentral